UGCAAAUACACGAUAAGGGAUUCCUUCUCCAAGGCUCAGAGCAGAACAGGCUCAGACAGGAAGGCAUCAGAAUGAGGCUGUUUAUUUUGCUGGCUGUGCUCUAUAGUGGAGUAAGGAGCAGCAUUGUGCCACAGAAAAUGUAUGGGAGGAUCACAUCCCCAAACUUCCCAAAGGUCUACCCAAAUCAUAAGGAGAAAAUAUGGAAUAUUACUGUCCCCAAAGGAUAUUCUGUCCGCAUUUACUUCACCCAUUUCAACCUGGAGUUGUCCUACCUGUGUGAAUAUGAUUAUGUGAAGCUGAGCUCUGGUGGGAAAACCUUGGCUGUGCUGUGUGGACAGGACAGUACAGACACUGAGGAGGCUCCGGGUAACAGGACGUACAUCUCUGUUGACAACCACCUUGUGGUAGUGUUUCGGUCUGAUUACUCCAAUGAGAAACCAUUCACAGGCUUUGAGGCCUUUUAUGCUGCUGAAGAUAUUGAUGAGUGCAAACAGCCAUUGGAUACUAAGCCCCUCUGUAGUCAUCACUGUCACAACUACAUGGGAGGCUACUAUUGCAGCUGCAGGGUUGGCUACAAACUGCAUGAAAACAAGAGGACGUGUACAGCUCCUGCAGCUGCAGUAUCCAGGUAGAAGAGCUUCCUGAUCAUGCUGGAAUUCAUGGAGACCUUCUAUGUGAAAACACACACAGGAGUGUUGUGCCCCUGUGUUGUCCUUAAGGUUACUGCUGCACUGCCCAUGCCUGAGAGGUUCCUGCUCUCAGCUGAAAAAAUUGUAUUUUCCUGAGCAGUUUUCUGAAGAACAAGCUUUCACAUUCAGAGUUUCAGUCCAAGGACAGUGGACAACAGAUACUUGGAACUGAUUAGCAGUGUUAAAAAAAACAUGUUUUUUCUAUUAUAGCGACCCCCUUACAGUAUACAUAAACUUCGUUUUUCCUGGC
Parus major (Great Tit) is the source of this 939-nucleotide RNA transcript. It is a transcript of the gene named mannan binding lectin serine peptidase 2, with no coding region annotated. The transcript has 6 exons. The record is from RefSeq and is a predicted model, not a curated record. NCBI's taxonomy places the organism in Eukaryota, Metazoa, Chordata, Aves, Passeriformes, Paridae.